UGGGGAAUAUUGCACAAUGGGCGAAAGCCUGAUGAAGCAACGCCGCGUGAGUGAUGAAGGUCUUCGGAUUGUAAAGCUCUGUCUUUUGGGACGAUAAUGACGGUACCAAAGGAGGAAGCCACGGCUAACUACGUGCCAGCAGCCGCGGUAAUACGUAGGUGGCGAGCGUUGUCCGGAUUUACUGGGCGUAAAGGGUGCGUAGGCGGAUGUUUAAGUGAGAUGUGAAAUACCCGGGCUUAACUUGGGUGCUGCAUUUCAAACUGGAUAUCUAGAGUGCAGGAGAGGAGAAUGGAAUUCCUAGUGUAGCGGUGAAAUGCGUAGAGAUUAGGAAGAACACCAGUGGCGAAGGCGAUUCUCUGGACUGUAACUGACGCUGAGGCACGAAAGCGUGGGUAGCAAACAGGAUUAGAUACCCUGGUAGUCCACGCCGUAAACGAUGAGUACUAGGUGUAGGAGGUAUCGACCCCUUCUGUGCCGCAGUAAACACAUUA
This 491-nucleotide ribosomal RNA is filed under the name uncultured bacterium. Its description in RNAcentral is "partial 16S ribosomal RNA". It matches the Rfam family "Bacterial small subunit ribosomal RNA", at positions 355 to 862 of the family's 1533-position model. The record is from RNAcentral.